RNAcentral lists this ribosomal RNA (500 nucleotides) under uncultured bacterium. RNAcentral's name for it is "partial 16S ribosomal RNA". It matches the Rfam family "Bacterial small subunit ribosomal RNA", at positions 30 to 523 of the family's 1533-position model. The record is from RNAcentral.
AUUGAACGCUGGCGGUAUGCUUUACACAUGCAAGUCGAACGGUAACAGGGUGCUUGCACCGCUGACGAGUGGCGAACGGGUGAGUAAUGCGUCGGAACGUGCCGAGUAGUGGGGGAUAACGCAGCGAAAGUUGUGCUAAUACCGCAUACGUACUGAGGUAGAAAGUGGGGGACCUUCGGGCCUCACGCUAUUCGAGCGGCCGACGUCUGAUUAGCUAGUAGGUGAGGUAAAGGCUCACCUAGGCGAAGAUCAGUAGCGGGUCUGAGAGGAUGAUCCGCCACACUGGGACUGAGACACGGCCCAGACUCCUACGGGAGGCAGCAGUGGGGAAUUUUGGACAAUGGGCGAAAGCCUGAUCCAGCCAUGCCGCGUGUCUGAAGAAGGCCUUCGGGUUGUAAAGGACUUUUGUCAGGGAGGAAAUCCCUAGUGCUAAUAACACUGGGGGAUGACAGUACCUGAAGAAUAAGCACCGGCUAACUACGUGCCAGCAGCCGCCGUAA